Non-coding RNA from Cricetulus griseus (Chinese hamster), 3992 nucleotides. The record is from RefSeq and is a predicted model, not a curated record. NCBI's taxonomy places the organism in Eukaryota, Metazoa, Chordata, Mammalia, Rodentia, Cricetidae.
GAUUAAAGGUGAGUGCCACCAACAUCCGGCUUGUUCAUUCUUUUUAUACAUGGUGAGAUGGGCUAAAUUGGAAGCCAGCAGUAGUCCACCACAUUGACUCAUCUACCUACUUGUCCGUUGGCAUCACCGGCAACUCUGGGGACAAGCUGUAUGCCUGGUUCUGAGUCCAGAUUCAGGGAAGCAGUGGUGGGGGAGGUGGGCCCCAUCUUGGCCAUCAGAGGCUUCCAUUCUCUUGGGAAGGUAUCAAAGAACAUCAAAGAGGAGAUAGGAGUGCAAAAGGAGAAAUAGUUGAGUAUUCCCCUCCCUCUCUAAUGGGUAUAGGGGGCAAACGUGCAGUGAGAACUGAGGAGGGGGUAGAUGGGAGCCAGAAAUGAGGAAGGGGUGGGAAUGUAGAGCAGGCAGAGCGAUCAGAAUGGUGGGAGGGUUCUGAGGGGAGGUUAGGUGGAUGAGUGUAGCCUGAGGCCAUUUGCAUUGCCAGUGUCCUGAGUGGUCCCCAGGUACGGACUUGGAAAUCACAACACUAUACAACCAGGCUUUCCUGUACCCAGGUUCUAAUCCAUGGAUUCAAUCAACCUCAGAUUGGAAAUAUUCUGGGAGAAAAACAAAAAACAAACCCAAACCAAACCCUCUGGGCAUCAUAGUUCGUAUUUGUAAUCCCACUACUUGGGGACUGAGGCAGGAGGAUGGCUGCAAGUUUAAGGGCAGCCUUGUUUACAAGCCAUGCCUUGUUCCCCCAAACAAAAACAAGGGGCUGGAGAGAUGAUUGGGUGGUUAAGAGCUCUUGUUGCUAUAGCAGAGGAUGGGAUUUGGUUCCCAGCUCCUACUUGGGUGGCUCUCUAUUGCCUAUAGUUGCAGCCACAGGGGAUUUGACACAUAAGCAGGAAAGAUAAGCUCACAAAAGGAGAAGUGAACCCCCUAAAUUUCAGGAACACACAUAGGGCUGAAAAGAGGGCUGAACACAGCCUUUCUCAUUCUACCAGGGGCCUGUUGCCAUGAAGGUUGGGGCCCUGGCUGGGAUUGUGGCUCUGCCCCAGACCUUAUUUCUUACCUGGGCAGCACCUGGUCUGUAUCCAGGUUGGUGAGAUAGAGAGUUCAGGACUUGGCACAGGGUCAGCUGCUGAACCCAUCUAUAUCUUCCAACCUUAAGCGACGUCCCCUGUGAACAUCAGGGGAGAUUAUUCACUAGCCUUCCUGGCAGGGGUGGCUCUCUCAGCAUCUCCUUCAGGGUUAGGGGGUUGGUGGGACACUGUGAAUCAUGAAGACAAAGGCAAGGAGGACCCAUGGCUUGUGAUGGUGCAAGCUAAAGCAAGCAGGAAGCCUGGUCCCUUUGGAAGGAUUAGGUGAGUCCUCAGGAUUCUGAACUGGCAGUUCCUUCUGCCUGUCCCAACCCUUCUUCUCACCUUCUCCUCAGCUGGGCUUUUGGAUGCCCCUGGGCAGAGGUGAAGGGUUUUUCAGCAGUGACUGCAGAGGAGGGCCUAUCUCUCAGGGUCUUCAGGCCUUCAAAUGGGGUCAGGGCACAUACAGGUGAAACAGGAGGGGAUGUCACAGUCACACACCAACACCCACGCUAGCUCCACAGUCACCAGUGCAUGCAACUUCAGGAAACCUGUGACUUCUCAGAAAGGGACAGGAGGUCCCCAGCUGAUGGUUUGUGUACCUGAUCAGAGUGCACUUACAGAACGUGUUGGUAUAUAACACAUUUGAAGUCACUAGAUAAAUCAAUUGUUGUCUCCUGUCCAGCCCAGGUCACAAAGAGGAGGUGGGGGCUGGGAUUUGAAUCGGGACCUUCGUGAUACCAGGUGGGGCAGGCAGCACCAGGAACCCCUGCCAGUCCCUGGGGGCAGUGACUCAGGGGCAGGUCCCCACAUCCCUUCUCCUACCCCUCCCUUUCCAGCUGACUCAGCCAGACUGUCCAGGGCCUUUCUCUGGAAUUCUGGGCCCCAGGCAGUGUUCUUGGUCACCUCCUCUUGUAGGCAGGACACACCCUUAAUAGAGACACUACACUAGCUGCCGUCUGACCUCAGUCUCCUCUCUGCUGCAGGUUUGCUGGGUUGAACAUCUCUUCCAACCACUUUGGGGGAAGAGGAGGCACACACAAGACCCUUGCGGAAGCUGGGAGGGAGAAGAGUAAUGGAGCAGAAGCCACAAGAACACAGUAUUAGAAGGGAUGUUUAAUGGUAUUCAUCCACCCACCAGCUGGGGACACCUGGGGACAGCUGAGCAGGUGCAUCUGAUGACUAUGGAGAUGUGGGCAUGGUGCUGAGUGUCUGCUGCCUCCAGGCAAGUGUGUGUAUGUGCAUGUGAGUGUAUGCGUGUAUACAAUUGUGUGUGCAUGUAUGUGCAUCGAAGUGUGGUAUCUACAUAGUUGUGUAUAUGAUUAUGUGUAACCAUGUGUUCACGUGUGUCUCUAUAACUGUGCAUAUGUGAGUGUAUCUGUUAGAUGUGUGUGUAAAAUUGUGCAUGUGCCUUUGAGUGUGUCUAUGUAACCAUGUGUGUCCAUGUGAGUGUGGCAUUGUAAAUAUGUGUAUAGUUGUGUGUGUGUGUGUAACCAUGUACAUGGUAUGUGUGUAAUCCUGUGUAUUCCUGCUGGUAUGUCUGUGAAUAGUGAAUGUAUCUGUGUGUCCAUGUGAAUGUGUCUGUGAAGCCAAGUGUGUGUCUGUGAGUAUGUAUGUGACCGUGUGUGCACAUGUGGCUGUUUCAGGAUCUCUACAGCUUCUUUAAGACUGGCUCUGGGACCUGAUGUGACCCAGUGACCCCCAUGCUGUUGCCCUGUCAGCUUACAGUGGACUCUUAGUUUCAGUGCCUAAUCCUUGGCCCUGUUUUCCCCUCUGAUGAGAGAAUAAUUAACCAAGGACUCAUUUUCCAGGCUUCCUUCCCAUUAUCCCUGCCAAAUGAAAAUAAUCACUACAGGGAGGAGACGCUGCUUGCUGUGGGAAGCAUAGAGUCAGGGUGUCCAUGGCCCCAGAGGAGAGGUACUCCUUGGGAGGGAACCUGGAGCCUGGGAAGGAAAAAGGGCCCGGGCUGGAUCAGCACUACCCCACGUGUGGCAAGUUCUAGCCCUCCCCGGCCUCUGUAGGUGUGUAGGUUUGCACUAGAAUUCGAUCCUUCUAAGGGGGUUCUUUUGAAGGUGAAAAGGUGAUAUUCCAAACAAAACCAAGCCAACCACAGCCCGUGGUUGCUUAAGGCUGGAAAAAGAACUAGGUUAUGUGGGUAAACGAGGACUGUUCCUUCAGGGCCUUUGUGGUUGAACCUUGUUUCCUUGGGGGAGUGAUGUGUUGAAUCCAGAAGGUAAUGGGUGGGUUGGGGACUCACACAUCUUUCCAGCUCCUUCUGUGUCCUCUCAACCCUGCUACUCUCACGCUGAGGGCACUUUCCAGUGCCCGGAGAGCAGCUACCACGUGACUGCAGACAUACCUUAUUGUGAGAGUGAGUGCUAGUCCCCAAGGUGGAGGGGAGUUUUGAGGCUGCUUAUCUCAAGUAAUUGUCUUUAACCACAAAGCCCUCCUCAAGCAUCUCAGAUUACAGUCUGGAGGAACAGCCACUGAGAAAUGCAAGCAUCCUGGUCCCCAUGUACCAUCAACUUGACUCAGGAAGGGAGGUGCAGUGUGGAUGUCUGCAGGGACUGACUCCCAUCUUUGGAAAGGCUAUUAUCCCAGAAGAUGGACAAGUGUGCAAGUUCUGCCUGCUUCUGAGGCCCUGUCCCACACUUUACAGCUACUUCCUGAGAAACAGACACGGGUUAUGCCCAGGUAUGUGGCUCCAGGAAGAGUGGAUAUAUACCGUACAGGUUGGUGGGUGUGAUGGGGUCCUAUGUGUGAGGUCUCAACCCAGAGCCUGCUAAGUUGAUGUAACCUGUUUGCCGCAGGACGUGUGUGGCUAGCGCAGCGAACACUUCUUGUUGUCCAGGGCUCCGGGUGGCCAGUUGCACCCUGGCUUCGGGCAUGUGGUGGGUGCGGACAGCUGUUGCACGCGUGGCCCGGGCUAGGUGCGCA